Molecule: ribosomal RNA, 484 nt
Filed under: uncultured bacterium
Lineage: Bacteria
Description: partial 16S ribosomal RNA
Rfam family: Bacterial small subunit ribosomal RNA
Source: RNAcentral
AUUGAACGCUGGCGGCAUGCUUUACACAUGCAAGUCGAACGGCAGCGCGGGCUUCGGCCUGGCGGCGAGUGGCGAACGGGUGAGUAAUACAUCGGAACGUGCCCAGUAGUGGGGGAUAGCUCGGCGAAAGCCGGAUUAAUACCGCAUACGACCUGAGGGUGAAAGCGGGGGAUCUUCGGACCUCGCGCUAUUGGAGCGGCCGAUGGCAGAUUAGCUAGUUGGUGGGGUAAAGGCCUACCAAGGCGACGAUCUGUAGCUGGUCUGAGAGGACGACCAGCCACACUGGGACUGAGACACGGCCCAGACUCCUACGGGAGGCAGCAGUGGGGAAUUUUGGACAAUGGGCGAAAGCCUGAUCCAGCAAUGCCGCGUGUGUGAUGAAGGCCUUCGGGUUGUAAAGCACUUUUGGCGGGAACGAAAAGGACUGUGCCGAUACCACGGUUCGAUGACGGUACCCGCAGAAUAAGCACCGGCUAACUACGUG